GGUGAACGCUGGCGGCGUGCCUAAGACAUGCAAGUCGAGCGGGGCAGGUUUAUCCCUGUUCAGCGGCGGACGGGUGAGUAACGCGUGGGUGACCUACCCGGAAGAGGCGGACAACCUGGGGAAACCCAGGCUAAUCCGCCAUGUGGUCCUGUCCUGUGGGGCAGGACUAAAGGGGCGCCCCGCUUCCGGAUGGGCCCGCGGCCCAUCAGCUAGUUGGUGGGGUAAAGGCCCACCAAGGCGACGACGGGUAGCCGGUCUGAGAGGAUGGCCGGCCACAGGGGUACGGAGAACCGGGCCCCACUCCUACGGGAGGCAGCAGUUAGGAAUCGUACGCAAUAGACGGAAGUCUGACGGAGCGACGCCGCUUGGAGGAGGAAGCCCAUCGGGGUGUAAACUCCUGUACUAGGGACGAAAGCCCCGUGUAGGGGGAUGAAGGUACCCAGGUAAUAGCUCCGGCCAACUCCGUG
This 467-nucleotide ribosomal RNA is filed under the name uncultured bacterium. RNAcentral describes it as "partial 16S ribosomal RNA". It matches the Rfam family "Bacterial small subunit ribosomal RNA", at positions 28 to 507 of the family's 1533-position model. The record is from RNAcentral.